Molecule: ribosomal RNA, 111 nt
Organism: Ursus americanus (American black bear)
Lineage: Eukaryota; Metazoa; Chordata; Mammalia; Carnivora; Ursidae
Source: Ensembl
GUCUACAGCCAUACCACCCUGAAUGUGCCCAAUCUCAUCUGAUCUCAGAAGCUAAGGAGGGUUGGGCCUGGUUAGUAUUUGGAUGGGAGAAAUAUCCAGUAGGCACUGACU